This 76-nucleotide transfer RNA is filed under the name bacterium. RNAcentral's name for it is "tRNA-Phe". It matches the Rfam family "tRNA". Rfam says of the family: Transfer RNA (tRNA) molecules are approximately 80 nucleotides in length. Their secondary structure includes four short double-helical elements and three loops (D, anti-codon, and T loops). Further hydrogen bonds mediate the characteristic L-shaped molecular structure. tRNAs have two regions of fundamental functional importance: the anti-codon, which is responsible for specific mRNA codon recognition, and the 3' end, to which the tRNAs corresponding amino acid is attached (by aminoacyl-tRNA synthetases). tRNAs cope with the degeneracy of the genetic code in two manners: having more than one tRNA (with a specific anti-codon) for a particular amino acid; and 'wobble' base-pairing, i.e. permitting non-standard base-pairing at the 3rd anti-codon position. The record is from RNAcentral. RNAcentral also lists the same sequence under 2 other names.
GCCGGGAUAGCUCAGACGGUAGAGCAGGGGCCCGAAAAGCCCUGUGUCCGUGGUUCAAUUCCGCGUCCCGGCACCA